Molecule: ribosomal RNA, 301 nt
Filed under: uncultured bacterium
Lineage: Bacteria
Description: partial 16S ribosomal RNA
Rfam family: Bacterial small subunit ribosomal RNA
Source: RNAcentral
CAGUCGCCGCGGUAAUACGAAGGGUGCAAGCGUUAAUCGGAAUUACUGGGCGUAAAGCGUGCGUAGGUGGUGAGUUAAGUCUGCUGUGAAAUCCCCGGGCUCAACCUGGGAAUGGCAGUGGAUACUGGCUCGCUAGAGUGUGUCAGAGGAUGGUGGGAUUCCCGGUGUAGCGGUGAAAUGCGUAGAGAUCGGGAGGAACAUCAGUGGCGAAGGCGGCCAUCUGGGACAACACUGACGCUGAGGCACGAAAGCGUGGGGAGCAAACAGGAUUAGAUACCCGUGUAGUCCCUGUCUCUUAUAA